This is a long non-coding RNA of Ornithodoros turicata, 568 nucleotides long. RefSeq lists it as uncharacterized. The transcript is spliced from 3 exons. Lineage: Eukaryota; Metazoa; Arthropoda; Arachnida; Ixodida; Argasidae. The record is from RefSeq and is a predicted model, not a curated record.
GUAACACGCGGGCAAGCAGUACCUGCUCGAAAAGGAGGACACAAGUUGCAGUGCAGGCCGCGACUUUUACGUGUGUGCCUGUGUUGACAUCAACCAAGGAACUUCUCUGACACUAUUCGUGAGAAAAGAACGACGCGCACUGCAAAGCAGCUAGCAAGGUGCAGCCAGGAUUGCAAACACAUUGCAGAGCUCUCCUGCCUAAAGUCCAGCGAAGGAGCAGGAGGUUUCAUUUCGUGUGACAAGGUCUGGGUGAAGCAGAUUCCAGAGGUGAUUAACCAGAUGAGGCUUAGUUAAGGAUCCUGACCAUUUCACUCAGAUUCACUCCAAACAAGAGCUCCUAAUUGUAUACCCCAGGAGCAACAAGAGAGGUCAUGUCUCAACGUGCACCUCAGAACCAGAAAGCGGAUUCAGCAGGGCAGCACAGGACAAGAUGCUGAGGACACAGUGACCACCCUGCAACUGAAGUCUUGCCUGUGUCCCAUGUGAUGAACAGUUGUCUACCCAUAGUUUUCAACAUUACAUACUUUGGGCCGGUUGAACAGCUCAGCUCUUAUGUAUAGGUAUCUGC